RNAcentral lists this ribosomal RNA (1978 nucleotides) under human gut metagenome. RNAcentral's name for it is "bacterial LSU rRNA". It matches the Rfam family "Bacterial large subunit ribosomal RNA", at positions 1 to 2004 of the family's 2925-position model. The record is from RNAcentral.
GAAAGUAAGCAAGGGCAGACGGUGGAUGCCUUGGCUCUCGGAGGCGAUGAAGGACGUGAUAAGCUGCGAUAAGCUUGGGGUAGGUGCAAAUAACCUUUGAUCCCAAGAUUUCCGAAUGGGGCAACCCGGCUGGUAGAAGGCCAGUCAUUCCGUAAGGAAGGCGAACGUGGGGAACUGAAACAUCUAAGUACCCAUAGGAGAAGAAAACAAAAGUGAUUCCGCAAGUAGUGGCGAGCGAACGCGGAAUAGCCCAAACCGAUGAUGUUUAGGCAUUGUCGGGGUAGUAGGACCACGUUGUGGCAAGAGAUUAAGGAAGUAGAACGUUUUGGAACAAACGGCCGUAGACGGUGAAAGCCCGGUAUACGACUCUUUAACGAAGCCUAGUGGUAUCCUGAGUAGCGCGGAGCACGAGAAAUUCUGUGUGAAUCAGCGGGGCCCAUCCCGUAAGGCUAAAUACUCCCGAGAGACCGAUAGCGAACCAGUACUGUGAAGGAAAGGUGAAAAGCACCUCGAACAGAGGAGUGAAAUAGUCCCUGAAACCGUCUGCCUACAAGCGGUCGGAGCAACGUAAGUUGUGACGGCGUGCCUUUUGCAUAAUGAACCUACGAGUUACUUUCUCCGGCAAGGUUAAGGGCUUCAGGCCCGGAGCCGAAGCGAAAGCGAGUCUUAAUAGGGCGUGAUAGUCGGAGUGAGUAGACGCGAAACCAAGUGAUCUACCCUUGGUCAGGAUGAAGGUUGGGUAACACCAACUGGAGGUCCGAAUGGGUAUACGUUGAAAAGUGUUCCAAUGAACUGAGGGUAGGGGUGAAAGGCUAAUCAAACUUGGAGAUAGCUCGUACUCCCCGAAAUGCAUUUAGGUGCAGCCUUUAUUUAGUAUAGCAUGAGGUAGAGCGACUGAUUGGAUGCGAGGGCUUCACCGCCUAUCAAGUCCAGAUAAACUCCGAAUGCGUGCUAUAUAUUGAUAAGGAGUGAGGGCGCGGGUGCUAAGGUCCGCGUCCGAGAGGAGAAGAAUCCAGACCAUCAGCUAAGGUCCCCAAAUAACAGUUAAGUUGAACUAACGAAGUCGGACUGCAGAGACAGCUAGGAUGUUGGCUUGGAAGCAGCCAUUCAUUUAAAGAGUGCGUAACAGCUCACUAGUCGAGGAGUCCGGCGUGGAUAAUACUCGGGCAUAAACUGUUUACCGAAGCUAUGGAUGUAGAAAUACAUGGUAGGGGAGCAUUCCAACGGCGUCGAAGGUGAAGGAUGACCUUUGCUGGAGCUUUUGGAAACGCAAAUGUAGGUAUAAGUAACGAUAAAGGAGGUGAGAAACCUCCUCGCCGAAAGACUAAGGUUUCCUGAUCAACGUUAAUCGGAUCAGGGUAAGUCGGGACCUAAGGUUAAGCCGAACGGCGAUACCGAUGGAAGAAUGGUUUAAUAUUCCCAUACUACUUUAUGGAGCGAUGUGGAGACGGAGAAGUGAAAGUCCUGCCAUCUGACGGAAUAGGUGGUUGAAGAGUGUAGAUGUAGAUUCCUGUAGGCAAAUCCGCAGGGAGAGUCGACCUUGAUAGUAUGCCGCGUGCUUGCACAAGGCAAAAUGGACGUAAUCAGGCUCCCAAGAAAAUCCGCUAAGCAUAUUCAUAAAGUACCCGUACCGUAAACGGACACACGUAGUUGGGUUGAAAAUACUGAGGCGCUCGAGUGAUUCACGGUUAAGGAACUAGGCAAAUUGACCCUGUAACUUCGGGAUAAAGGGUCCCUACUGAGAGGUAGGGCGCAGAGAAUAGGUCCAGGCAACUGUUUAACAAAAACACAUGGCUGUGCGAAAUAGAAAUAUGAAGUAUACAGCCUGACACCUGCCCGGUGCUGGAAGGUUAAGAGGAGAGCUCAUCGCAAGAGAAGGCUUGAAUUGAAGCCCCAGUAAACGGCGGCCGUAACUAUAACGGUCCUAAGGUAGCGAAAUUCCUUGUCGGGUAAGUUCCGACCUGCACGAAUGGUGUAA